Triticum dicoccoides is the source of this 1129-nucleotide long non-coding RNA. RefSeq lists it as uncharacterized. The record is from RefSeq and is a predicted model, not a curated record. The transcript has 3 exons. NCBI's taxonomy places the organism in Eukaryota, Viridiplantae, Streptophyta, Magnoliopsida, Poales, Poaceae.
CUGGUCAACGGGGGUCGGCGUGAGGCCGUCGUGUGGGAUCCUCUCACCGGCCAGCAACAUCGUGUGCCUUUUCCACCGGGGCUUCACGACGUUACAACGAGUAGUUUCUAUGCCUGGCAUGCCGCGGUGCUUUGUGCUAAUGCCGAAGAUGGGCACGUGCACGGAGAUUGCAUCAGGGGGCCGUUCAAAUUGGUCUUGAUCUGCAACAGAUACGAGCAGGCAUUCGCUUCUCUCUAUGACUCCACAUCUCGUGCUUGGGGAGAUAUUUUCUCGACGGCGAUAGAAAAUACAAUUCAUUGGACAAGGUGCAGCAUCCUUGUUGGAAAUGUGCUUUGCUGGGCGAUUUGUGGAGGUGAUGCCCUUGUGUUUGAUACUGAAAUGCAGAGUCUUGCUGUGAUUGAGAAGCCGGCAGACAAGAACGCUAUCAGUGGCUGGUCUUUUCAGCUCUUACGGAUGGAGGAUGGUGGACUAGGCCUCGCUGCUUUGUCGGGACUGACCGUCCAAUUAUGGGAAAGGAAACUUAACUGUGACGGUGUUGUCGGAUGGGUGUUGCUGCAGAAAACCAUUCCUUUGGAGGGGUUGCUUCCAAGCACAAAGCCUUUGGUAUUUAUCGUCGGGUAUGAUGAGGACACAAAUGCGAUUGUUCUGUCUACGGGGAUUGGCAACUUCAUGAUCCAACUUGACUCAAUGCAGAUCAAACAUAUCAUUAAAAGAAAUGACAUGUGUAUCGACAUGUUUUAUCCCUACCAUAAUUUCUACACUGCAGGCAGGGGAGUUGGGUGGAAAUGGGUGGAACUGAAACUUUGAACACUUGUGAUAUAGUAAUGUGCUAUCUUGGUUUGAAUGAGUGAGGUACCUCGAGUUAUUCAUGUGUUGCUGAAAUGAAGAAAAAUGUCUAGUUGGUUUAGUCUGCUCCAUAUGCUGAAGCAUGUGAUGUGGUUGACGCUGAGAUUGCAUCUCUGUAGUAUGUAGGUUGUUCUACUUUUAUGUACGGUUGUCCGGGAAGUGGAAUUUGUUGGAUUUAAUUGUCUCAGCUUGUGUUCGUUAUUAAUGACUUGUAGAGUUUCUUGGGUUAAUAGUCUUUGUGAAGUGAAUAUCUAUCUACAAUUUAUCUUCUGAGUCUUGCUAA